This 320-nucleotide ribosomal RNA is filed under the name uncultured eukaryote. Its description in RNAcentral is "partial 18S ribosomal RNA". It matches the Rfam family "Eukaryotic small subunit ribosomal RNA", at positions 1470 to 1796 of the family's 1831-position model. The record is from RNAcentral.
CCCUUAGAUGUUCUGGGCUGCACGCGCGCUACACUGACAUACUCAGCAAGUUUCCUUGCCUGAAAGGGUUGGGUAAUCUUGUUAGUGUAUGUCGUGAUGGGGAUAGAAUAUUGUAAUUAUUGCUCUUUAACGAGGAAUUCCUAGUAAGCGCAAGUCAUCAGCUUGCGUUGAUUACGUCCCUGCCCUUUGUACACACCGCCCGUCGCUCCUACCGAUUGGGUGAUCCGGUGAAUGAUUCGGACUCUGGCUAUGCUAGCUACUAGCUACGUCAGGGAAAGUUUUGUGAACCUUAUCACUUGGAGGAAGGAGAAGUCGUAACA